Castor canadensis (American beaver) is the source of this 94-nucleotide small nuclear RNA. The record is from Ensembl. Lineage: Eukaryota; Metazoa; Chordata; Mammalia; Rodentia; Castoridae.
GUGCUUGCUUUGGCAGCACAUAUACUAAAACUUGAACAAUACAGAGAAGAUUAGCAUGGCCCCUGCGCAAAUUCAUGAAGCAUUCUAUAUUUUA